RNAcentral lists this ribosomal RNA (468 nucleotides) under uncultured bacterium. RNAcentral's name for it is "partial 16S ribosomal RNA". It matches the Rfam family "Bacterial small subunit ribosomal RNA", at positions 28 to 507 of the family's 1533-position model. The record is from RNAcentral.
GACGAACGCUGGCGGCGUGCUUAACACAUGCCAGUCGAACGGUAAGGCCCUGCUUUUGUGGGGUGGUCGAGUGGCGAACGGGUGAGUAACACGUGAGUAACCUGCCCCUGACUUUGGGAUAACUUCAGGAAACGGGGGCUAAUACCGGAUAGGAGCUGCUGCUGCCUGGUGGGGGUGGGAAAGUUUCGGUGGUUGGGGUUGGACGCGCGGCUUAUCAGCUGGUUGGUGGGGUGGUGGCUUACCAAGGCCUGGACGGGUAGCCGGCCUGGGAGGGUGACCGGCCACAUUGGGACUGGGAUACGGCCCAGGCUCCUACGGGAGGCAGCAGUGCGGAGUGUUGAACAAUGGGCGGACGCCUGAUGCAGCAGCGCCGCGUGCGGGAUGAUGGCCUUCGGGUUGUAAACUGCUUUCGCCUGUGACGAAGCGUGAGUGACGGUAAUGGGUAAAGAAGCACCGGCUAACUACGUG